This is a long non-coding RNA of Cynocephalus volans (Philippine flying lemur), 1727 nucleotides long. RefSeq lists it as uncharacterized. The record is from RefSeq and is a predicted model, not a curated record. The transcript has 5 exons. Lineage: Eukaryota; Metazoa; Chordata; Mammalia; Dermoptera; Cynocephalidae.
CAGGUGCAGGCGUUGGCGGGCGCCGCGCUCGGGGUCAACCUCCCGCCACCCUGCCACCCAAACCCUUCAAGGUCGAAGCAGGGUUCCGACGACAGCUCAGCUUAACCCUCUGCUCCGCUUCCCCAGGAGACUGCGGCGGCUCCGAGCCAGGCUCGCAGGACAGGCCGGAGGGAGAGGCCAGGCGCCCGGCGAACGCAGAGCUCACGGCGGCGGCGCGGGGGAUCGCGGGGCUACACGCGGCCGCCCGCGCGGUGAGACCCCCUCUGCCCGCCCCGCGCCCCCGGGGUCUCUGCGCCUGCGCCUCUCGCGCGCUCCCGACCCGGAGGUCGCCGGCAGAAGCAAAGGCAGCGGCUGGCCCCCGACACGCGCACGCUCUUCCUGCUCCGACAAUGUCGCUUGAAAACUGGCCACAGUUUCGCAUUCCGGACAAAAGGUUUUACCAAAUAUCUGUCUUGAGCAUGAGCGUUACUCGUUUUCUGAUCAGCGUCCUAGCUAGACUCUGGUCGCAGCGUGGGGGUCUCACCACUGCCCUCUCCUUCUUUCCUUCGACUCUAACGGAGAGGAAGAAACUACAGUUGGAAACUACAGCCAGUUUAUAUUCUUCCUGGACACUCUUGAGCUUUAUUUUCCUUCUGUUUUGCGAACUUCACAAUUGCUUGUUAGCACCAAUAUCUAAACUUACCAUUUCCCUUCACGGUUUCUAACAACUCAGACCACAUGAGUUUAAAGGAGUUCAUGGCUCAUGCAAAAAUAUACGUCAGAAGACAUGCAAGUUUCCUGUGUGUUUUAAUGCAAAGGCUCUAUGCAAGAAUGGUGCACUGAGUUACUUGCAUAGUAAAAGGGUUACAUGAAAAGCCUUUGGGAAAUUUCCUCUGCAAAAACUCAAGGCUGGUCAGGUAAACUAUGUGGAUCCAGCUACUGGCUAUGUGGUGCUCACACAGCUUGCCCACUUGCAGAGAGGUGAAUGCAGUGGCUGUGUCUGCAGACACAUGCAUCUCCAUAUUCAUUGAUUAGGAUGAAAUAACUACUCCUUUCCUACUCUGAGCAAAGCAUGAACGGGAAUGGGUUCCUCACUAUUACUUUUUCAAAGCAUAGUAGUAAGUGUCCGUAUGGUCAAGUCAAUGUUAAAGAUUCAUCUAGGGCCGAGCCUGUGGCGCACUCAGGAGAGUGCGGCGCUUGGGAGCGCGGCGACGCUCCCGCUGCGGGUUCGGAUCCUAUAUAGUAAUGGCCGGUGCACUCACUGGCUGAGUGCCGGUCACAAAAAAGACAAAAAAAAAAAAAAAAAAGAUUCAUCUAAAAAGAAGCAAUUCAAUUCAUAUUUUUAUGUUUGACACAAUUUCAUCUCACACUGAACCUGGAGUCUAAAAAGGUCAUCUUUCUGGAGAAACAAGGGAAUGAGGAAGGGACAUUCAUUUUGAAAAGGGGCCCAAUGUAAGACAGUGUUAUGAGAAAGCCCUUUGGAAGGUGGAAAUAACUCAACCAAUGCCUUCUCUCUACAGGCGCUCUUUCUCCUCCCAGUGCACUUCCUGCAGUAGGGAACUGGCCAAAGAAGAAAGGACAUCCAUAACAUCAUCCUAUGUGAGAUGUUUAUGAUUCUUCCUAGCAGAACUUCAAGCCUUGCUGGCAACAAUAGCAAAGGAACUGCUGGGGGUGUGGGGUGGAGAGACGCUCUUACUCCUUCCUGCACCUGGAGCCAGGAGCCAAGGUCUGAAGUUCACUGUGGUUCU